This is a long non-coding RNA of Poecilia reticulata (guppy), 459 nucleotides long. RefSeq lists it as uncharacterized. NCBI's taxonomy places the organism in Eukaryota, Metazoa, Chordata, Actinopteri, Cyprinodontiformes, Poeciliidae. The record is from RefSeq and is a predicted model, not a curated record.
GUUUCCACCCUCAUCAAAAACCCGACGGACUUUGAGUGGCAUCUCAUUCAGUGCCACUUGGACUCUUGAAAACCAUUAAUAGUUCACAUUUUAAAACCCUGUUAAUACUAGAAUUCCACAUUAUUCCAGCCAUGUUGAAUUUUAGAUUUUGGAAGUCCUUUUUCAGUGAUUUACUUAGUGAUACACAAAGCAUUGAUAUUUCUUUAAGAUCUAUGUUUUUAUGUUCAUAAGCUUGUAGAAAUUAAUGAGUUAAAGCCAGUUUAUGUCACUGUAAACUGAAAGUCUUUAAUUUCUAUUCCAGUGUUAGUGAAACUAUAUAUUGACUUUGAAGGCCUAUUUUUUACCAGUUCUCUGAGAAAUGGUUUUGUGUUAUUUGUUUUGAAUGUUUGAAUACACUGGAAAUAUGUGUGGUUUGAGGCAUAGUGGUGCCUUUAAAUAAAAAUUCUGUUCUGAAGGUUA